Molecule: ribosomal RNA, 465 nt
Filed under: Vreelandella stevensii
Lineage: Bacteria; Pseudomonadati; Pseudomonadota; Gammaproteobacteria; Oceanospirillales; Halomonadaceae
Description: partial 16S ribosomal RNA
Rfam family: Bacterial small subunit ribosomal RNA
Source: RNAcentral
CCUACGGGAGGCAGCAGUGGGGAAUAUUGGACAAUGUGGGCAACCCUGAUCCAGCCAUGCCGCGUGUGUGAAGAAGGCCCUCGGGUUGUAAAGCACUUUCAGUGAGGAAGAACGCCUGGUGGUUAAUACCCAUCAGGAAAGACAUCACUCACAGAAGAAGCACCGGCUAACUCCGUGCCAGCAGCCGCGGUAAUACGGAGGGUGCGAGCGUUAAUCGGAAUUACUGGGCGUAAAGCGCGCGUAGGUGGCUUGAUAAGCCGGUUGUGAAAGCCCCGGGCUCAACCUGGGAACGGCAUCCGGAACUGUCAAGCUAGAGUGCAGGAGAGGAAGGUAGAAUUCCCGGUGUAGCGGUGAAAUGCGUAGAGAUCGGGAGGAAUACCAGUGGCGAAGGCGGCCUUCUGGACUGACACUGACACUGAGGUGCGAAAGCGUGGGUAGCAAACAGGAUUAGAUACCCUGGUAGUC